ACUCGCUGAACUUAAGCAUAUCAAUAAGCGGAGGAAAAGAAACCAACAGGGAUUGCCCUAGUAACGGCGAGUGAAGCGGCAACAGCUCAAAUUUGAAAUCUGGCCCCAGGCCCGAAUUGUAAUUUGUAGAGGAUGCUUCUGGUUACGUGCCUUCUGAGUUCCCUGGAACGGGACGCCAGAGAGGGUGAGAGCCCCGUAUAGUCGUGCACCGAGCCUCUGUGUAGCACCUUCGACGAGUCGAGUAGUUUGGGAAUGCUGCUCAAAAUGGGAGGUAAACUUCUUCUAAAGCUAAAUACCGGCCAGAGACCGAUAUCGCACAAGUAGAGUGAUCGAAAGAUGAAAAGCACUUUGAAAAGAGGGUUAAACAGUACGUGAAACAAUUGAAAAGGAAGCACUUGUGACCAGACUUGUGCCGUGCGAAUCAUCCAGCGUUCUCGCUGGUGCACUUUGUACGGUUCAGGCCAGCAUCGGUUUUUCUAGGGGGACAAAAGCUCUGGGAACGUAGCUCUUUCGGGAGUGUUAUAGCCCUCUGCACAAUGCCCUUGGGGGGACCGAGGUUCGCGCUCUGCAAGGAUGCUGGCGUAAUGGUCAUCAGUGGCCCGUCUUGAAACACGG
RNAcentral lists this ribosomal RNA (615 nucleotides) under uncultured fungus. Its description in RNAcentral is "eukaryotic LSU rRNA". It matches the Rfam family "Eukaryotic large subunit ribosomal RNA", at positions 23 to 664 of the family's 3401-position model. The record is from RNAcentral. Lineage: Eukaryota; Fungi.